CCUACGGGUGGCAGCAGUGGGGAAUAUUGCACAAUGGGCGCAAGCCUGAUGCAGCCAUGCCGCGUGUGUGAAGAAGGCCUUCGGGUUGUAAAGCACUUUCAGCGGGGAGGAAGGCGUUAAGGUUAAUAACCUUGGCGAUUGACGUUACCCGCAGAAGAAGCACCGGCUAACUCCGUGCCAGCAGCCGCGGCAAUACGGAGGGUGCAAGCGUUAAUCGGAAUUACUGGGCGUAAAGCGCACGCAGGCGGUCUGUCAAGUCGGAUGUGAAAUCCCCGGGCUCAACCUGGGAACUGCAUUCGAAACUGGCAGGCUAGAGUCUUGUAGAGGGGGGUAGAAUUCCAGGUGUAGCGGUGAAAUGCGUAGAGAUCUGGAGGAAUACCGGUGACGAAGGCGGCCCCCUGGACAAAGACUGACGCUCAGGUGCGAAAGCGUGGGGAGCAAACAGGAUUAGAUACCCUAGUAGUC
RNAcentral lists this ribosomal RNA (465 nucleotides) under uncultured Klebsiella sp. RNAcentral's name for it is "bacterial SSU rRNA". It matches the Rfam family "Bacterial small subunit ribosomal RNA", at positions 338 to 795 of the family's 1533-position model. Lineage: Bacteria; Pseudomonadati; Pseudomonadota; Gammaproteobacteria; Enterobacterales; Enterobacteriaceae. The record is from RNAcentral.